This is a non-coding RNA of Vigna umbellata (rice bean), 492 nucleotides long. The record is from RefSeq and is a predicted model, not a curated record. Lineage: Eukaryota; Viridiplantae; Streptophyta; Magnoliopsida; Fabales; Fabaceae.
GGCAUGCAGAGGUUUUAAUUGGUGGUUCUGGAUCGGGCAUUCGAGUUCUUGUCCAUUUAAGCAUGCCAUUGUUCGCUACAUUUCUUCAUUCUGCAUUCUUAACACGCUAUCGAUGCUCUUGUUCAAGAUGUAUCGAUGGAGUUAAGUUUCUGCGGACAGAUUUCGAGCGGUUUUCAAUGAGUGAAGAAAAGUGAGGAGGGGAAUAUGAGUGAAAAGUGGUCUUUGAAGGUGGUUUGAAGUUUGAACUGCAGCAUGCAGAAAGGUUUUGUUUAUAGACUUGCCUUGGAUGUGGGCCCAUAGUUGAUGGUGGUGAAGAUGCAUCAAGAGUGUUAACAGGAUUAUGAAGCAAUUCCGAUACGAACAAAGGUACUAUAUGCUUUUUUAUUUAGAAGAAAAAUUAGUUUAUUUGGGAAACUAAAAGAAUUUGGAUUGUAAAGAUCCACACAAAACUGACGAAGAUCUUUUCAUGAGUUGAUUUUAACUAUAACAUUA